CAAGAGGAGAACACAGCUCUCCCCACCGUCCCUGCCACAGCGGGUUUGGAAAGACAGGGCCUUCCAUGCCUGCCCAUAACCUUCAGGGUGGCCGUUAUCUCAGGAGAGAGAAGUGAAGAAUGAGUGGAAUCUUGCACUUCUGCAUCCAAAUGAUCACCCAUCAGUACAUUCUGAUUCAAAUAUAAAGUGAAAAAGAUAAAAUCUGUGGAGAAGCUGCGUUCCUGGAGGCUCACCGUUCAUGUAGACCUACUCAUUCCCCCGAGCAUGCUGAGUCCAGCCUUGCAGAUAAAGAAUUUAACCCAGAAAGAAAAGCAAAAAAUACAGCUUCUGUGAUCUUGCAAUUGGUACCCACGUUUGACUAAAUGUGUUGUGGAAGAA
This 378-nucleotide long non-coding RNA is filed under the name Homo sapiens (human). RNAcentral's name for it is "HSALNT0395356". The record is from RNAcentral. Lineage: Eukaryota; Metazoa; Chordata; Mammalia; Primates; Hominidae.